GACGAACGCUGGCGGCGUGCUUAACACAUGCAAGUCGAACGGAAAGGCCCUGCUUUUGUGGGGUGCUCGAGUGGCGAACGGGUGAGUAACACGUGAGUAACCUGCCCUUGACUUUGGGAUAACUUCAGGAAACUGGGGCUAAUACCGGAUAGGAGCUCCUGCUGCAUGGUGGGGGUUGGAAAGUUUCGGCGGUUGGGGAUGGACUCGCGGCUUAUCAGCUUGUUGGUGGGGUAGUGGCUUACCAAGGCUUUGACGGGUAGCCGGCCUGAGAGGGUGACCGGCGCCUGUGAUAGGGUGACACGGCGCACAGUGGCAGGAGCGGCGGCGGUGGGGAACAUGGGACAGCGGGCGGAGGCCUGCUGCAGCGGCGCCGGGGCGAGGCCUACGGCCUUCGGGCGUCAAGCCGCUCCACCUGGGGCCGAGGGGUGAGUGACGGUGAGACGUCAAGAACCACCGGAUAACUCCGUGCCAUCGGCCGCCGUAAUCCCCGGACCCCCACACGCUUGAUC
This 509-nucleotide ribosomal RNA is filed under the name uncultured bacterium. Its description in RNAcentral is "partial 16S ribosomal RNA". The stretch from base 13 to 373 matches the Rfam family "Bacterial small subunit ribosomal RNA", at positions 40 to 399 of the family's 1533-position model. The record is from RNAcentral.